This 409-nucleotide ribosomal RNA is filed under the name bacterium. RNAcentral describes it as "partial 16S ribosomal RNA". It matches the Rfam family "Bacterial small subunit ribosomal RNA", at positions 355 to 776 of the family's 1533-position model. The record is from RNAcentral.
UGGGGAAUAUUGCACAAUGGGCGAAAGCCUGAUGCAGCCACGCCGCGUGAGGGAUGACGGCCUUCGGGUUGUAAACCUCUUUCAGUAGGGACGAAGCGCAAGUGACGGUACCUGCAGAAGAAGCACCGGCUAACUACGUGCCAGCAGCCGCGGUAAUACGUAGGGUGCGAGCGUUGUCCGGAAUUACUGGGCGUAAAGAGCUCGUAGGCGGUUUGUCACGUCGUCUGUGAAAUCCUAGGGCUUAACCCUGGACGUGCAGGCGAUACGGGCUGACUUGAGUACUACAGGGGAGACUGGAAUUUCUGGUGUAGCGGUGGAAUGCACAGAUAUCAGGAAGAACACCGAUGGCGAAGGCAGGUCUCUGGGUAGUAACUGACGCUGAGGAGCGAAAGCAUGGGUAGCGAACAGG